Molecule: unclassified non-coding RNA, 3495 nt
Filed under: Hevea brasiliensis (rubber tree)
Lineage: Eukaryota; Viridiplantae; Streptophyta; Magnoliopsida; Malpighiales; Euphorbiaceae
Source: RNAcentral
AAACAAUAAAAGCUUUUAGUGUGCACGGAAGAACAUAAAUGGGUAAAUAAAAUUUAAGCUUAAAUUUGCCCACUUUCACCAGGUUCUUGGCUUUUUCUGAUCUGCAAGCUGUUACGAACUCAUCAUGCUCUCUUUUUUUCUAGGAAGUGCAGAAACAGGGAAAAUUAUGACAUUUGAGAUCAAUGCCUAAAAUAAUUUUGCAAUAAUAGAUGCCUUUGUAAUUAUGGAACAACAGUAAGCUCAUGGCAACAAUAUAAUCCAAAAGGCACGUUAUUCUUCACAAGAACAUGAACCGAAAUCUUUUUUAGGAACGGAAUAAAAUUUUUAAGGGUAUAUAUAGCAAGAUCAAGACAAGUUGGAUGAGAAAUAAAAAUCAAGCAGUUGCCUUGAAUUUCUUUGUAAUGCCAGCAAAGUAUUUUCCCUGGUGGAAAGCUUGCUCAAGCUCUAGCUUAGAAGGCUGUCUGGAACCAUCCCCAGCGUAGGUUCCUGAACCAUAAGGGCUGCCACCCUUCACCUUCUCCAUCUCAAACAUGCCGGCUCCAAAUGUAUAUCCAAUGGGAACAAAGAUCAUUCCAUGGUGAACAAGCUGAGUGAUGGCAGUCAACGGAGUGGUCUCCUGUCCACCUCCCUGAGAACCAGUGCUGUAGAAAAUUCCUGCAGGUUUGCCCGCAAGCGCUUGUGUUCUCCAUAGCCCCCCAGUUGCAUCCAUAAAUGCCUUAAACUGUGCAGCCAUCAUUCCAAAUCUAGUAGGGAAACCAAAAAGAACCCCAUCAGCCUCAGUUAGCUCGCUUGGAGUAAUGAUAGGUACAUCACUCUUUGGUGGUGCACCCAUUUUCCCAAGAACAUCUUCUGACAGUGUUUCAGGUACCUGUUGAUGUGCCAACUAUAAUCAAUAAGGCAUAUCUAAUUCUUACUUUGGAAUAGAGAAAACCAAACACUUAGAAAUGAAAUGCACUUAUAUUAUUAUUCCAGCGAAAAUUCAAAUAUUUUUUACAAGCUAAUAAUGGAAUCAAGUUGAAGAUUCUCAAGGAACAUAUAUUUAGAUGGAGUCAACUAAAAUUAGAAUUGUAUCUUGUCAAAAAAUCAACUCAGCUGGCUUUUAUGUUCUUGAAGAAAUAACAAUUUUCCCUUCCAAAAGAAAUAAAAUAAAAUAAAAAGAUACCUUCUUUGACAAGGCAGUCUUGUCCAGCAUAAGCAAGCAAGCAAGUGCCCGUUAUGAGGUUCCCCACAACAAGGUCAUGUGAGGGAAAAAUGGGGAAAGGAUGCAUCCUUCACUUUCAAUGAAGUGCAUGCUCUCCAGAUUUAAAUCAGUGAUCUCAUACGUGUCUGCCUAGAUUUCUCCCAGACAAUGGCUAUGUUAUUCAAGGCAAAUUUCUGAGCAGACUGGCAAAAGUCAAUAUAGUUUACAGGAUUUUAAAACUACUCUGGCCAGCCAGCUACAAAGGAAAUCAAAUCCUUCAAACUUUAUUUACAUCAAAUUGAAAGAACAUCCCCAUCAGUGAAAGAAAGCAUGCUCUAACUGACAGUAUAUUUUCUUAUGUUCUAGUCACUAUGCUUUGUUCAACCUGAAAAAUGUCUAACAUCAUACAGACUGAUAGACAUUUAAAUGACAAGACAAACAAGCUUAUCGACCCAAUAGUUCAAAAAGUUAAAUUGCAAACAAAAUUACAAACCUGCCACAGUGUCACUUCCACUCCUUCAACUGAUGCAGCUCCUUUCUUUAUCUCUUCAGCAAGUUUUGCAACAUGUCCGUACAUGGAAUAGUAACUGCAUAAGGCAUCAAUGAUCAUAUAGAUUCUAGCACAAUAAACAUGAAAAACAAAAUAUAUACAGUUCAGGGGAAACUAUAUAUAUUACAUUUUUUUUAUUGACUUUAUUUCCAGGCUGUUAUCAUUGGGAUAAUCUUUCAAUGCUUGAUGCUGAAAGGGAAAAGGAUUUUUAGCACAAAAGCAAUAAAAUUUUUCUGUAAGUUACCUCAUUGAAUGAUAGUGAAAGGAGAAAGGAAGUUUGGUAGGACAAUAACAACACAUAUAAUAUCAGUGUAAUGGCUACAUAGGCCUACAUCAAGGGAAAUAUCUUUUUAACUAGAUGCCAUAAAAAGGCAGUAUAAUCACCAUAAUUGCAUGGACGUAGGUGCAGAGAAAAGAAAAGACGUGCUUGUAGCCUUUGAACAAAUUUUUUCUUUCACCGGACAUCAUUGCUUUACUUCAAUAAAUCCACCAUUUGUACAAAUCGGGAGUAGUUUGUUUCCAGAAUUAAAAUAGAACAUUUAGAUGCUGUUCCUUGUGCAUUCCAGGCCAUGAAAAUGAAAGCCAUUUGUGAUGUUUUAUGCAUAUUAAAUUACAUGCCAAGAACUAGUUUCAAUAAUGAUGACUACUGGGACCACAUGAUCUAAAAGUAUGGGGCUGGCAUUAAUUCCUCUCUAAAUUAUAAUUUCAACGAGUAGGUCCAAUUUCACAAUCACUUUUUCUUGGCUAACACCUAAUUAUGUCAAUAAGUUUUUGCAAUCUUCUUGUUUAAAUCUCUGGCUCCAUUUAUUAUACCUAAGACCUUCAGGAGUUAUAUAUGCUUUAAUAAUUGUCAUUUAUCACUAUGAGUGGCAAAGAUUGAAAAAUAUGAAUUUUUUCACUCUUAAGAUCCAUCUGUCAAAUGUGGAAGAGAACAAAAAUCACCGACGGUCUCCACUGAGCAGGAAAAAAAAUAGAACAGAAAAGAGAAAAAUAAAUUUUUUAGGGCCACAAGUUGUUCAGAUAUUGUCAUAUAUCAACCCUUAUAAAUUGGUAAAAGACAUGUGUUGCUUGUUAUCCAAUCUCCAUGUGUUUUAUUUUUCUUUUAGCUUUCUAUCUAUCAAAACAUUCCCAGCUUGUACAAGAAACAAAAGGGAAGAGCAAUAUGGAAAACCUAGAUCCACAGCCCAUAGUUCAAGCACACAUAAGGCAAAACGUCUUGGCCACUCCGCAAUCUUUUUGGCCCAACAUAAAGUAUAUACAUCCUCAGCCCCUCAUUCCAAUGAAUUAGAAAUCAAUCAAGAAUGGCAAUAUCGGUCACAGGAAUUUUAGAAGUCUAUCUUUUCUAGUUCUGGCUUCAUGUAUUCCUACCCAGAAUAAAUUAAAAUCCGUGGUACUGUACUCCAACAAAUGACCCGCUGUGAAUUAAAAUCCAUGAUAUUGAUUCCCAUAGCUAAGAGUGGAUAAAUUAUUAAAUUUCCAGCAUCAAGAUCAAAUGGAGCCUUAUAACAAAAUUUUCCAGGAGCUAUUUUCUAUCAAAGAAAAAAAUAAAGGACUAUGCACAACACAAAUUAUUAAAAAAGAAAAAAAGCCUCCAAAAUAAUGAAAAGAGCAAAGCCCAUUAAUCAUCAAGGUAAAAUACAUAAAAAUAAAUCAAGAAAUGAGCAGCUAAACUUUAAUGCACAGCAGGAAACAAAUCAAUAACAGGGCAGAAAAAUGAGAGGAUGAGGGGGUGAGUAAACCGAGAAGAUAAGAGAGAAGAGAAAGA